RNAcentral lists this long non-coding RNA (30266 nucleotides) under Hordeum vulgare. Its description in RNAcentral is "long non-coding RNA (HVUL_LNC006834)". The record is from RNAcentral. Lineage: Eukaryota; Viridiplantae; Streptophyta; Magnoliopsida; Poales; Poaceae.
GUUAAAUUGUGAUCCAAAUUCUACCGUAUUGGACUAGACGUAGUACAAUCGGUGUGGGCCUUUGCGUUGGUACCGACGCGUACGAGUACAACUCGUUUACUUGUCCUCCAAGGACUCUUAUGUAUUGCCCCUCAUAUAUACUCCAUGUAGCCGCACCUAAAGACGUCCUGUCGUCUCGUGCUUGUAAUACUCCUCCUCAUAGUGAUUGCGCCUUCGUGCGUCCGUGGUUUUCUCCCGCAAGGGUUUCCACGUAAAAAUCCGUGUCUCUCGUGUCUCGUUGAUCUCGUUUUAUCUAACAAGUGGUAUACAGAGCUAAGGUUAUACUGAUACGAGAUUUGAGACGAGAGCUAGGGUUUUUUUCACGCAGCCGCCGCGUCGGGCAAUCCGCCGAUCUGAAACCGGAUUGAUCUCUGCUGCCGCUGUACGAAGCCGAGACCGACACGAGUUCCGUUCGUACGCACGCAUACAAAUCGCUCCGAGGCGAGCCGCUGCAGGUGAAAAAAGAGGUCGAGUUGCGCUGCUGCUCCACGCUCAGCAAGUCGCCGAAUUGGUGCUGUCUCCUCUGCCGCCAGCCACGCCUCGUCCACCAGACCACAUCGACCUGAUCCCGGUUCCCAGCGCAGCCACGCGCCAGGAGCCGACCGUGCCGCUGCUCACGUCCAAGUUGCUGCUGCUGAGUUGCUGCUCACGUCCAAGUUGCUGCUGCUGAGUUGCCGUCUCUAUCGCUGCGCAUCGCAGCCCCUGUUCCUGUCCGUUGCUGCUGGAGAUAAUUGAUCAAUCAUCCAUCCAUCAGCACGUGACGAUACUAGUAUAAAGUACUAGUUGGUGUCUUAUCUUCUAUUGCUACAUCUACCCAAGAGCUACCAGGUGCUAUUUAUUCUAUUUCGUUUCAUCCGCAUAUUAAUUUCAUCAAGAAUUUUUCUGCCGGCUUGUACUACUUUGUGUACACAGAUUUAUCUACUCAUGGCAUCCAUGAAGUACGAUCUUCCGCUGCUGGACCGUGACACAAGGUUUACCCUAUGGCAAGUCAAGAUGCGGGCGUUGUUGGCGCAGGCCGACUACGAUGAUGCACUGGAUAGUUUUGGGAAGAAUAGAAUUGAGGAUUGGACUGCUGAGGAGAAAAGAAGGGAUCGUAAGGCUUUGUCACAAAUUCAACUCCAUUUGCAUAAUAAUAUUUUGCAGGAAGUUUUGAGCGAGAAAACUGCCGCCGCUCUAUGGUUAAAGCUGGAAGGGAUUUGCAUGACUAAAGAUCUCACCAGCAAGAUGCAUCUGAAGCAAAAAUUAUUCAUGCACAGGUUACCCGAGGGAGGUAACGUUUUGAAUCAUAUUUCAGAAUUUAAAGAGAUCAUAUCCGAUCUAGCUGCAAUGGAGGUUACGUAUGAUGAAGAAGAUACUGCUUUAAUGUUACUUUGUUCGCUGCCAAGCUCUUAUACCAAUUUUCGAGACACCAUAUUAUACAGUCGUGAUACUCUCACGCUUAAUGAAGUUUAUGAAGCUUUGAACUCUAAGGAGAAGAUGAAAUUAAUGGUGCCUCAUGAUGGUUCGAGUUCAUCCCAAGCCGAGGGAUUAUCUGUUCGUGGCAGGACAAAGGAGAAGAACUCACACAAUGGAAACCGUGGCAAAAGUAAGAACGGCCAGAGGGGCCGGUCGCAAUCUAAAGACAAGAAGCAGUCUUGCAGGUAUUGCAAGAGAGACGGGCAUGACAUCUCAGAAUGUUUCAAGUUGCAGAACAAGGAAAAGAGGAAUGGUACGUAUAAACCGAAAGGUAACAAACAAGGUGAAAAUUCUGCUAAUGUUGCUCGUGAUGAAAGUUCAGAUGAUGCUCUUGUUGUUAUUGCUGGAUGUGCUGAGACCAAUGAUGAGUGGGUACUUGACACUGCGUGUACUUUUCAUAUGUGCCCGCAUAGAGAUUGGUUUACUACUUUUGAUUCUACUACAGCCGCUGGUUCCGUUUUGGGUUUUGAUAAUUCACCAUGCAAGAUUGAAGGCAUAGGUUCCAUUCGUAUCAAGAUGUUUGAUGGCACAAUCAGAACUUUGACAGAUGUUCGGUAUAUUCCGAAGAUGAAGAGAAAUCUUAUCUCUGUGAGUGCCCUUGAUGCAAAGGGCUACAAGUAUUCAGGUGGAGAUAGCGUUUUUGAAGGUCACCAAAGGUUCUCUCAUUGUGAUGAAAGGUGACUUAAGUUCGACCAAUGGUCUUUAUUACCUUCGAGGUUCUACCGUUUCAGGUAACGCUACUCCAGCUGUUUCAAAGAAUUCUGGUUGUGAUGCUUCUAACCUUUGGCAUAUGCGUCUUGGACAUAUGAGUGAACUUGGUUUGGCAGAGUUAAAUAAGAGAGGUCUUCUUAAAGGAUACCAAACUGGUAAAUUGAAAUUUUGUGAGCAUUGUAUCUUCGGCAAGCACAAGAGGGUGAAGUUCAACACUUCGACUCAUACAACUGAAGGUAUUCUUGAUUAUGUGCAUUCUGAUUUAUGGGGACCAUCUCGCAAAAGGUCAUUAGGUGGUGCUCGUUACAUGUUGACUAUUAUUGAUGAUUAUUCGAGAAAGGUUUGGCCUUAUUUCUUGAAGCAUAAAUGGCAAGCUUUCUCAGCUUUUAAGGAGUGGAAGAUUAUGAUUGAGAGACAAACUGAAAAGAAGGUAAAAAUACUUCGCACUGAUAAUGGUAUGGAAUUCUGUUCUAAGCAAUUUGGGAAUUAUUGCAAGUCUGAAGGCAUUGUCAGACACCACACCGUUCCUUAUACUCCUCAACAAAACGGUGUUGCUGAGCGUAUGAACAGGACCAUUAUUUCCAGAGCCCGUUGCAUGUUGUCCAAUGCAGGUUUGCAUAGGCGUUUUUGGGCUGAGGCCGCUUCCACUGCUUGUUAUCUCAUCAACCGUUCACCAUCUAUUCCUCUUAAUAAGAAAACUCCAAUUGAGGUAUGGUCUGGUUCACCUGCUGAUUAUUCACAGUUGAGAGUUUUUGGUUGCACUGCUUAUGCUCAUGUUGAUAAUGGGAAGUUGGAGCCUAGGGCUGUUAAGUGCAUCUUUCUUGGUUACAAAUCUGGUGUUAAAGGUUUUAAAUUGUGGAAUCCUGAAACACAAAAGAUUGUUAUUAGCAGGAGCGUUAUCUUUAAUGAAUCUGCUAUGUUACAUGAUGUUGCAUCUACUAAUGUUCCAAUUGAGAGUGAACAGCAGUCUACUGUUCAGCAGCCUACUGUUCAGGUGGAGCAUGUUAUUGAUUCAGGUGAUACUUCUGAUAAGGAAAAUGUUGAUGCACAUGAUGAACCCGUCUUUGAUGAUGAACAUGUCACUCCAAAUCAGCCUAUUGUUCCACCUAGUUGGAAUCUCGCACGUGACAGAGUUAGGCGGGGUAUUAAUGCACCUGAGAGGUUAAUUGAGGAGUGCAAUAUUGUUUCUUUUGCUUUAUCUGUUGCAGAAGAAAUUGAAGGUAAUGCUGAGCCUUCUUCAUAUUCCGAGGCUAUUNNNNNNNNNNNNNNNNNNNNNNNNNNNNNNNNNNNNNNNNNNNNNNNNNNNNNNNNNNNNNNNNNNNNNNNNNNNNNNNNNNNNNNNNNNNNNNNNNNNNAGGAGGAGAAGGAGACGGAAGAGGAGAAGAAGAAGAAAAGAAGAAGGAGAAGGAGAAGGAGGAAGAAGGAGGAAGAAGAAGGAGAAGGAGGAGCUCCUUCUCCUCCUUCUCCUCCUUCUUCUUAUCCUCCUCCCUCUCCUUCUUCUUCUUCUCCUCUUCUUCUUCUUCCUUCCUUUCAUUUUUCCUCUUUCUUCUCCUCUCGUCCCCUUCUUCGGGCUAAAUUGGCUAAGAAUGCCUUUUUGGAGCUAAUUAUGUCAUUUCGAGGAUAAUUAGCUAACUAUAGGUCAUUUUUUAUUAAAUAGACCAUUUAGGAGCUAACUAAGCUAAUUAUGUCAUUUAGAUGGAUAAUUAGCCAAUUUAGGCUUUGUUGGAUGAGUCUAAGCUACGUAGAAUAAGAGAAAGAGAAGAAGAAGUAAAAGAAGRAGGAGGAGGAGGAGGAGGAGAAGGAGACUGAAGAGGAGAAGAAGAAGAAAAGACGAAGGAGAAGGAGAAGGAGGAAGAAGGAGGAAGAAGAAGAAGGAGGAGCUCCUUCUCCUUCUUCUCCUCCUUCUCCUCCUUCUUCUUACCCUCCUCCCUCUCCUUCUUCUUCUCCUCUUCUUCUUCUUCCUUCCUUUCAUUUUUCCUCUUUCUUCUCCUCUCGUCCCUUUCUUCGGGCUAAAUUGCCUAAGAAUGCCUUUUUGGAGCUAAUUAUGUCAUUUCAAGGAUAAUUAGCUAAGUAUAGGUCAUUUUUUUAUUAAAUAGACCAUUUAGGAGCUAACUAAGCUAAUUAUGUCAUUUAGAUGGAUAAUUAGCCAAUUUAGGCUUUGUCGGAUGAGUCUCAUUAAGCUACGUAGAAUAAGAGAAAGAGAAGAAGAAGUAAAAGAAGGAGGAGGAGGAGGAGGAGGAGGAGAAGGAGAAGGAAGAGGAGAAGAAGAACAAAAGAAGGAGAAGGAGAAGGAGGAGGAAGGAGGAAGAAGAANNNNNNNNNNNNNNNNNNNNNNNNNNNNNNNNNNNNNNNNNNNNNNNNNNNNNNNNNNNNNNNNNNNNNNNNNNNNNNNNNNNNNNNNNNNNNNNNNNNNUCUUCUUCUUCUUUCUUUUCUCUUUCUCCUCCUCUCCUCUUUCUUCUUCUUCUUCUUCUUCUUCUUCUUCUUUCUUUAUCUUUCUCCUCCUCUCCUCUUUCUUCUUCUUCUUCUUCUUCUUCUUCUUCUUUCUUCUUCUAGUUUAUUAUUCUCUUAUUUUCUUCUAAUUUUGACUAGAUAAAGCAUGUAGAGUAGGAGCAUAACAUAAAAAUUCAGCGCAAACAUACAUGCUUCAUGCAUGAGGUUUAUGUCAACACCUCCUAUCUUCGGACCAAAAGCUUAACAUGCAACUUCUGUCAAAAAAUGCACAUUUACUUCAAAUCCAAAUCUAUCAUUUCUUUUUUGGGGCCCAUACCCUUCUUCAUCUAUCAUUUCUUUUUUCUAUCUAUUUUUUUUCUUUUCUAUCUACUUUUUCUACUUAAUAAACUAACUAUCUAAUUUAACAUAAACACAGAAGAAGAAAAAACUAACUAUCCAAUUUAACAGAAAAAACACAAAAUAAACUAUCUAAAUUAACUAUCUAAUUUAAAAGAAAAAAACAAGAAAUAAAGAGAAAAAGAAAAAAAACCUUACUUGCGUAGGGGCAGUGGGCGGCCGGGACGGAGGGCAGUGGGAGGAGGGGAGGGCGAGCUCCGGCGAGGGGAGGAGUUGCGCGGGGAGGAGGGGCGGCGGCGCUGGAGUGGGCAGUGCACGGGGAGGAGUUGCGUGGGCAGUNNNNNNNNNNNNNNNNNNNNNNNNNNNNNNNNNNNNNNNNNNNNNNNNNNNNNNNNNNNNNNNNNNNNNNNNNNNNNNNNNNNNNNNNNNNNNNNNNNNNGCCAACGCCAUGCAUGGAUACACAUUCUUUUUCUUCCAAAAAUGAGGAUAUACCCAUGGCAUCUGCAUCACAUAUAUAUGCACACAAUCAUAUUAUUAACAACAUGCACACUGUCAUUUGAAGACAGUGCAUCCAUAAUGUCUGGCGCCAUAAUCAUCAUCUACCACUCUACCGACCUACUCACGUAGAACUAGCUAGUGAAAGGAGAAGACGUCGAAAACAUUGAAGUCAUUUCAUCGAUCGCUUUCUAUUAGCAUGCAUUCUUGUUUAUACUGUAGGUGUUCCUAAAGUCAUAAUGUAUGUGUCUAUGUAUGAGGGUCAGCGCUUACUAUGUUAAAGAAAGUAAAGAAAGACAUAUACUCCCUCUGUAAAGAAAUAUAAAAGCGUUGAGAUCACAAAAGUAGUGAUUUAAACGUUCUUAUAUAUAUUUAUUUACAGAGAGAGUACUAAAAAAAUUAUAUACAAAAAACAAAACAAAAACAAAAACUUAAUUUAAAAUGAAAUGAAUUAAGAGCAUUGGUACUACCUUAAAAGAAAAAAAAACUAAAAUCAUACGCAAAGAAAUAUUUGCACACACAUUAGAUAUAAAUUGCAUUAUUCCAUAAUAUGCAAGCACAAACAUAUAAUUGUAUAAUAUGCAAGCACAAGCACAUAAUAGUAUAACAUCCAGACAAUAAAGAAGUUGAAAUAAACUUAAAACAAAUGAUGAAAAAACAUGCACAUAGUUUUCCUUUUUUAUAGUAUGCGGUAAUGAGUGUUAAGAAUAGUGCAAUUUUUUUCACUCUGGUGUAAUUUACACACGUACUGUAUAGUAUUUACAUGUNNNNNNNNNNNNNNNNNNNNNNNNNNNNNNNNNNNNNNNNNNNNNNNNNNNNNNNNNNNNNNNNNNNNNNNNNNNNNNNNNNNNNNNNNNNNNNNNNNNNAACGACCUAUAGUUAGCUAGGGUUCCACCUAAAUGACAUAAUUAGCUUAGUUAGCUCCUAAAUGGUUUAUACUUAGCUAAUUUCUCUCCGAAAUAACCUAUAUAUACACUACUUCAUCUAGUAUUAUUCUUCUAACUUUCUUAUUUGUCAUUUUGCAGAUUACCUUCACUUCACGGGAAGCUUGGAAAAUAUUGAUGGAAUGCUUGAAGAUGAUUUCUUGUACCAUGGGUUGUAUUGAAACUAUUGUAGUAUAUGAAUAUAUGAAACUUUGUAUGCACGUGGAUGAAACUGGUGUAAUAUAUGAAACUUUGUAUGCACGUGGAUGCAACUUGAAAGCUGGAUAUAAGAGGUUAUUUUCAUAUGGUUAUGAGUACGGAAAGAAAUUUAUUUAUGUCAAAUAUAUAUAUAUAUAUAUCCUGAUUAUUGUUAAAAAUGCUGGAUAUAACAAAAUAAAUUAAAAAGGGGUUGGUUCCCCUCUUUGCCGUCUGCCCCCACAUGGCAAAGGGGGAGGCAGACGGCAAAGGGGGGAAUUUGCCCCCUCUCUCUCCCCUCUUUGYCGUMUGCCCCCWCAUGGCAAAGGGGUGGAGGCAAACGGCAAAGGGGGGAAUCUGCCCCCUCUCUCUCCCCUCUUUGCCGUCUGCCCCCACACGGCAAAGNNNNNNNNNNNNNNNNNNNNNNNNNNNNNNNNNNNNNNNNNNNNNNNNNNNNNNNNNNNNNNNNNNNNNNNNNNNNNNNNNNNNNNNNNNNNNNNNNNNNACCAAAAGCCUCAAGUGAGGAAUACGAGUGACAUGAGGACUCUCACAGUUGAGGGUUCCGACCGUUUCGAUAGCCACGCCAAGUCAUUGGUCUUAUCCACUCCAACGGUCAUAUUAUUUAAGGGCAUUAGUGUCAAAUCAUGUCGGAAUGCUCCCAGGCUAUAAAUAGCCACCCCCACAAGCAUUAGCUGGUUGGCUGCUCCGUUAGAAACUGACACUUGUCAUAAGAGCAACCCAAUUCCUCAGAGUCUUCGAGAGUAAUUCAUCAAUGAGGAAAUACACCAUACACCGAAACCACAAACCAAACCUAGUGAUUGAGCAUCACUGAAGAAGUUGUUCCUGUGUGGGACUGAAGCCUUUUACCUUUGAGGACUGUGCAUCCUCCAGACGGUUAGGCGUCAUGGUCUAGAGCUUUCCAGCAGUUAAUUGUGGAUCGUCGGGUGACCAAGUUUGUGAGGGUUUGGAAGUCUGCCCUGAAGACUUACCACGAGUGUUGGGCGAGGACUGUGUGUCCUUAGCUCAAGGAGAACACGGUAGGGACUGUGUGUCCCGGGACUGUGUGUCCUUUGGUUUCAAUACCAAGCCGCUCCAAACCAGAUGUACGACUGUCACAGCAGUUGGAGCUGGGUCAUCAACGAGUGUCUUCACUGAGAAACGGGUUCUAAUUCGUCAACUCCUUACUUUCCUCGUAUUAUGUGUUGAUGACUUUCACUGCGACUGUGUGAAGAAUUUGCUGAAGACUUUCUCUGAAUUUCCUCAACCCCAAAUUCUUCACAUCAGUUAAUCCUCAUCUGUAUUCUGCGUGCCUGCUCACAGUGCAAUCUGUUUUCACAUUCUUCACUCUGAAAAACUGCUGUUGUGAAACUUUGCACUUCUGAUCCUUUACUGUUUCCGCUGUAAGUUAGUCAUCAGUGAGGAAUUUCCUCAAAAGGAAUUUCCUCAGUAAUGAAAUUCUAAAAAUCUCCUAUUCACCCCCCUCUAGUCGAUAUAACGCACUUUCAACACCCACUAGUUCUCCUUUUGAGCUUUCACAUACUUAUAGCUCUAGUGCAUCCUUUGUAUGGCAAUCCCUACUCAUUCACAUUGAUAUCUAUUAAUGGGCAUCUCCAUAGCCCUUUAAUAUGCCGAGUCAAUGUGACCAUCUCCUCCUUUUUGUCUCACAACCACCACCACACUCUAUUCCACCUAUAGUGUUAUAUCCAUGGUUCACGCUCAUGUACUGCGUGAUAGUUGUAAAAUGUUUGAGAAAGUAAGAGUGCGAAAACAAUUACUUGGCCAAUACCGGGGUUGUACAUGAUUUAAAUUAGUUGUGUGAGGAUGAUGGAGCAUAGCCAGACUAUAUGAUUUUGUAGGGAUAACUUUCUUUGGCCUUGUUAUUUCGAAAGUUCAUGAUUACUUUGCUAGUUUGCUUGAAGUAUUAUUGUUUCCAUGUCAAUAGUAAACUAUUGUUUUGAAUCUUACGGAUCUGAACAUUCAUUCCACAAGAAAGAAGUUACAAAGGACAAAUAUGUUAGGUAGCAUUCCACAUCAAAAAUUCAGUCUUUAUCACUUCCCUACUCGAGGACGAGCGGGAGUUAAGCUUGGGGAUGCUUGAUACGUCUCCAACGUAUCUAUAAUUUUUUAUGGUUCCAUGCUAUUAUCUUGUAAACUUUGGAUGUUUUAUAUGCAUGAAUAUGCUAUUUUCUAUAUUUUUUGGGACUAACCUAUUAACUCAGUGCCAAGUGUCAGUUUCUGUUUUUUCCGUAUUUUUGACCCUUUUUCAGACGGAGUCCAAAUGGAACAAAACUUUACGAUGAUUUUUUGGACCAAAAGAGACCCCCGAAGGUUUGGAAGAAGGCCAGAAGAGCCACGAGGGAGUCACAAGCCUGGGAGGUGCGACCAACCCCCUAGGCCGCACCUACCAGGCUUGUGACCUCCUCGUGGGCCCAACCGACGUAAUUCCACCGCCAUAAAUUCCUAUAGAUUCAGAAACCCCCAGAAAGAAACAUAGUCAGGGAGUUCCGCCGCCGCAAGCCUUUGUAGCCACCAAAAACCAAUCUCGAGCCCGUUCUGGCACCCUGCCGAAGGGGGAAUCCAUCUCCGGUGGCCAUCUUCAUUAUCCCGGCGAUCUCCAUGACAAGGAGGCAGUAGUUCUCCCUCGGGGCUGAGGGUAUGUACCAGUAGCUAUGUGUUUGAUCUCUCUCUCUCUCGUGUUCUUGAGAUGUCUUGAUCUCGAUGUACCGCAGGCUUUGCUACUAUAGUUGGAUCUUAUGAGGUUCUUCCCCCUCUCCCUUCUUGUAAUGAAUUGAGUUUCCCCUUUGAAGUUAUCUUAUCGGGAUGAGUCUUUGAGAACACUUGAUGUAUGUCUUGCACGUGUCUGUCUGCGGUGAUCAACUUGCAGGUUUGUGACAUUGGGAACCUAUGCAUAUGGGUUGGCACAUGUUUGAUUCAUGUGAGUACUCGAUGUAUGUUUUGGUGAUCAACUUGCGGGUUCGUGACAUUGGGAACCUAUGCAUUGGGGUUGGCACACAUUUUGACUGUCUGGUAGAAACUUUGGGGCACUCUUUGAAGUUCUAUGUGUUGGUUGAAUAGAUGAUUCCGAGUUUAUGUGAUGCAUAUCGUAUAAUCAUGCCCACGAAUACUUGAGGUGACAAUGGAGUAUCUAGGUGACAUUAGGAUCUUGAUUGAUAUGUAUCUUAAGGUGUUAUUCUAGUACGAACUCUAUGAAAGAUUGAAUGGAAAGAAUAGCUUCGUGUUAUUUUACUACGAACUCUUGAAUAGAUCGAUCAAAAAGAAUAACUUUGUGGUGGUUUCAUACCCGACAAUAAUCUCUUCGUUUGUUCUUCGCUAUUAGUGACUUUGGAGUGACUCUUUGUUGCAUUGAGGGCUAGUUAUAUGAUCCAAUUAUGUUAUCUUUGUUCAGAGAACUUCACUAGUGAAAGUAUGAACCCUAGGCCUUGUUUCCACGCAUUGCAAUACCGUUCGUGCUCACAUUUGUUACUAGUUACCUUGCUGUUUUUGUAAUUUCAGAUUACAAAAACCUAUAUCCACCAUCCAUAUUGCACUUGUUUCACCAUCUCUUCGCCGAACUAGUGCACCUAUAUAACUUACCAUUGUAUUGGGUGUUAUGGGGACACAAGAGACUCUUUGUUAUUUGGUUGGAGGGUUGCUUGAGAGAGACCAUCUUCAUCCUACGCCUCCCGUGGAUUGAUAAACCUUAGGUCACCCACUUGAGGGAAAAUUGCUACUGUCCUACAAACCUCUGCACUUGGAGGCCCAACAACGUCUACAAGGAGAAGGUUGCAUAGUAGACAUCACGCAUCUCCUGGUUCACCCAGUCGACGAAAUUUGCAUUCUCGGUCCUAUAUUUCUACACAAUAUGUUCCCCCUCGAGAGGUUCAUGUGAGUCUUAAAGAAAUAUGUUCAUAACCGUGCUAGGCCAGAAGGAAGCAUCUCCAAGGGCUAUGGAACAGAGGUGGUCAUUGGGUUUUGUGUAGACUUUCUUCGUGACCUUAAGCCGAUUGGUGUUCUUGAAUCGCGACAUGAGGGGAGACUGAGUGGAAAAGGCAUGCUAGGAAAGAAAUCAGUGAUAUUUAGGGAUGACCAUUCUUUCACUCAAGCACACUACACAGUUCUAAAAAGUUCCACCUUCGUGGCUUCGUAUAUCGAGGAACACAAGAAUUUUGUACGCUCCGAGUUCCUGGGGAAGGCUAUCUCCUGGAUUGAAGAAAAACACAUGGAUACUUUUGGCAGUUGGUUGCGAGCACGUCUCUUGAAUGAAAACACUGUUGGAGAUCAACUCUACUUGUUGGCCGCGUCACCUUCUUCGACUGUAUUACAUUUGCAAGGGUACGAGAUAAACUGGAAUACAUUUUACACGAUCGCCAAGAUAAAAAGAGCACCAACCAAAAUAGUGGUGUCCGCUAUGAUGCGAUAGACGAGAAUAGGAAAAAGGACACAUACUAUGGUUACAUAGAGGACAUAUGGGAACUUGACUAUGGACCUACUUUUAAGGUCCCUUUGUUUCGGUGUAAUUGGGUGAACAUGAAUGGAGAAGGGGUAAAGGUAGACCAGUUGUACGGAAUGACACCAGUUGAUCUCAAGAAUCUUGGUUACAGAGACGAGCCAUUCGUCCUAGCCAAUGAUGUGGCUCAGGUUUUCUAAGUGAAAUACAUGUCCUCUAGACCAAAAAAAAGAAAAAAAAUAAGCAAAUGAAUACAUCGGACGAUGAGCCAAAAUGUCACAUAGUUCUUUGAGGGAAAAGAAACAUCGUGGGAAUCGAGGACAAGACACACAUGUUAGCAGAUUAUAAUAAGUUUGAUGAAAUUCGGCCCUUCAUAGUGAGAAUUGACCCAAGCAUCCCGUUAAAUAAUGAAGAUGCUCCAUGGUUACGGCCAAAGCGAUCAUAGGCAAGGGAUCGAAAUAUAAAUCUAUGUAAUGUAUUAAACUUUAUGUGAUGUGUGCUAAUGUANNNNNNNNNNNNNNNNNNNNNNNNNNNNNNNNNNNNNNNNNNNNNNNNNNNNNNNNNNNNNNNNNNNNNNNNNNNNNNNNNNNNNNNNNNNNNNNNNNNNUCAAGUAGAACAAGUACUUAAGGCUCAGAAUGACUUUCUCAAUGAGUUGAAUGACAAUUCUGUCGGAUUCAUCACUAGAGGUGGUAGAAUGACCCAGGAACCUUUGUAUCCUGAGGGUCAUCCUAAGAGAAUUGAACAAGAUUCUCAAGGAGUUAGCACUGAUGCACCUAGUCAUCCUAAGAAGAAGAAAGAUGAUAGGAACUUGCACGCUAGAAACCCCGUUGCCGUUACACCUGAGAGUCCAAACGAUGUCUCUGUCUCUGAUGCUGAAACACAAUCUGGUGAUGAACAUGAGCCUAAUGAUAAUAUCAAUAGUGAUGUUCAUGAAGAUUCUCAACCUAGCAGUGAUAAGGAUGUGGAGAUUGAACCUAAUCUUGAUAACCCACAGCCUUAGAAUAAGAGAUACGAUAAGAAUGACUUCGCUGCUAGGAAGCAUGGCAAAGAAAGGUAACCAUGGGUUCAGAAACCCAUGCCCUUUCCUCCCAAACCAUCCAAGAAAAAGGAUGAUGAGGAUUUUGAGCGAUUUGGUGAGAUGAUUAGACCUGUCUUUCGGCAAAUGCUUUUGAUAGAUAUGCUCAAAAUGUCUCUGUAUGCUAAGUACAUGAAGGAUAUUGUGACUAAUAAGAGGAGGAUACCUGAGGUUGAGAUUUCCACCAUGCUCGCUAACUAUACCUUCAAGGGUGGAACUCCUAAGAAACUAGGCGAUCCCGGAGUGCCCACUAUACAUUGCUCCAUUAAAGGCAACUACGUUAGAACUGCUUUAUGCGAUAUUGGAGUCGGUGUUAGUAUUAUGCCUCUCUCUCUUUAUUGUAGGCUUGAACUGGAUAAGUUGACACCCACUGAAAUCUCUCUGCAAAUGGCCAACAAAUCAACUGCAUUCCCUAUCGGCAUUUGCGAGGAUGUGCCUGUUGUGGUUGCCAACGUCACUAUCUUAACAGACUUUGUUAUUAUGGAUAUUCCCGAGGACGAUGCCACGGUGGUCAUCCUUCGAAGAUCCUUUUUAAACACUACAGGGGCUGUUAUAGAUUGCAACAAAGGCAAUGUCACUUUCCAUGUCAACGGUAAUGAGCAUAUGGUGCACUUUCCGAAGAAACAAUAUCGAGUACAUUGCAUCAAUGCUAUCGAAAAAACUUCAUCGAUUCUUAUUGGGAGCUUUGAAUGCCCUAUACCUCCUGUUAAGAUGAAGUAUGAUUUGCUUGUUGGGGAUAUUCACAUCCCCAUUGAGGUAACCUAGUGACUAUUCGAAAAUUCUCUGUCUUCUUUUGCGAUUCGAAAAAGUUUGUCAAGGAGACUUGAUCAACCUCAUUGACGGAUUUCUUUCGAUGACCAUGAGAUGGAUGAAUCGAGGAGUCACAAACCUCUAUUCCAAGCUUUCACCUUCGGUUGCUUAGAAGAAAAAUAAUAGAUUUAGUUUAGUUUUCCCUGUUUUUUGUUUUUGCGUCCCGUAGAAAAGUACCCCGAAAAUAAAAGUUCUCCGAAUGUCCUGAAAAUCAAGUAUGAUUUUUUCUGGAAUUUUGGAAAAGUACUGAGACGAAGAGCUAGUCACGAGGCUGCACGAGUGGGCCACAAGCCCUGGCGGCGCGGGCACCCCCCUGACCGCGCCUACCAGGCUUGUGGGGCCCACGUGCACCCCCUCCACUCAUUCUAGCUCCCAUCUACUUCUCCUACAUCCAGAACAAAAUUGUUUCGCAGCUCAAACCCGUGUUCUUGCUCUUCUUGCUAGGAUUUUCGAUCUCCUUUUGCAAAGCACCAUUCAUCGUUUUGGGGAAAUUACUCCUUGAUAAGUGACUCCUCCAUUGGUCCAAUUAGUUUUUGCUCUAGUGCCUUAUACUUCGCGUAUUUUUGCUGCCUUGGUGACCCUGUUCUUGAGCUUUGCAUGCUAAUUUUAGCUGGUCCCAAGUAGUUUUGAUGCGUAAUAUGACCUCUAGGCACUUGUGGGAGUAGUUGCUACGAGUUUAGUUGAGCCUUGUUCACUUUUCCUUUGGGUCACUGAAAAUUUCAGAAAAGGAAGAUGUUCAGGAGAAACUAUCAUGGUGGUUCCUCAAGCAAGAGAGGUCCCCGUCUUGCGAUUCGGGAACCCGAUCCUUACCAACCGAGGAACGCACAUGUACAACCAUGUGAAUGGCCUUCUGAUGAAUUCAUGAUUGAGGCAGGUUUCAAAGACGAGUUUGAUACAUUUGUUCCCAACGUCGGACUCGAAGAAUUCAUCUCCGAUAAAUGUGAACAGUAUGUUUCUCUCACUGCCUCUUUUGUUUGUAGAUUCAAAUUUUCAGUUGGCCAUGAUACAUCUCUACUGUUUGAUCUCUAUGACAAAUCGUAUACCAUGGAUUUAGAGGAUUUCAAUAGAAUUUGCAAGAUACCUAUUUGGGGUAGUCUCAAUGAUCCUCCUAAAUCUUCGGUUAGAGAUGUUUUCUCUGGUAUAACUGUUGGAGAAACUAGAGAUAUUACAUAGGCUACCAUGUGGAGCAUUCAUUUUCCUAGCUUGCAUUAUUUUGCCCUCUUCAUAGGCAGAUGCAUUAAUGGCAAGGUUGAGCAUUGUCAUCUCUGCGCACCCGACCUUACUAUUCUUAAGAGCGCAGUACCGGGUGAUAGAAGUUUCAACAUGGGAGCUAUAAUAGCAAGGAGGCUGAAUAAUAAUGCUAAUGAAGGGGAUUUCUUUGGUGGGAUCUAUGCCACUCGCAUAGCAAAUUUUCUUGGAGUACCCAUCCGCGAAGGAGAUCCCCCGCUCCAUACAGCUUUCCUUGAUCGCACCGCUUUGACACGCUAUCAGUUCCUUGAGGGGGAUGAUGAAUCCCUCCUAUACCGUUUAAUAUUUAACCGGCAGCGUGUUUUCCAUAUCACCCUUCCUUCUCCUACCUUCUUUGACUCUCAGGAAAAACGGAGAUAUUACAUAACCAGAGGAGAGGCAUAAGAGUAUGAGAGGGAGGCAAGGGCUGCUCAUCUCCGUGAGGCAGCUAUUCAGGCAAUGGCUGCAACGCUCCCGUACAACCCCUAUUAUGAUUUUGGGUAUCGCCCGGACCAUCCAUGGGAGUAGACCAACUUAGGCCAAAAUCCUAACCUUGGGGGAGUACGUGUUUCUCACCGACUUUAUAUUGUUGCUUACGCCUUCACUUUGUUAGUCGGUGUUCACACUUUGCCACUGUAUCAUCCAUGCUAGUUUAUUUUCUCUUUCUCGUUUUCUUUUCGUGUGUUUGUCUAGUUUGAGAAAAACCCAAAAAGAUUUUCGUUCUUCUUUUGCUUGUUGGGAGCUUUCCCGUGUAAAUAGUUUUCUUUUUCUUUGGGUCAAGGUAGAAAACAAUGGUUACAAUGUUUAGUGGCUCUCGCAUGCAUAUCUGUUUACCUGUUAAAGAGCCAUAUUACUUUGUCUUCUCCUUUGUGUUUGCCUGCAGAUUCCAGCUUUAGUCCAAUGCACGAGCACUCUUAUUAUUGUUCACAUCAUUCGUUCAUGCAAGUGAAAGGCAAUAAUGAUGAUAUAUGAUGAAGUGAGUGAGCCUGGAAAAGCUGGUAUGAACUCGAUCUACUUUUUUUUGUAAAUAUGACUAGCUCAUCGUUUCUAGUUCAGCUUUGUUGUGAGAGAAACAUGUUUGCAAUGACAACUUAGAGAUCAUAGUUCCUGAUGCCAUGCCUAAUUAGCUAGGAGCUUAUAAUGCUUUGCCUUCGAUACCAACAUGAAUUUUGAGAUGACUGUGAUGUAGUAUGAUAGGAUGGUAUCCUCCUUUGAAUGAUUCAAGUGGCUUGACUUGGCGCAUGUUUAUGCAUGUAGUUGAAACGAAAUCAACAUAGCCUCUAUGAUGUUCAUGUUCAUGGUGAUUUAUGUCCUACUCAUGUUUGACCUCAAUGUUGGUUAAUCUCAAUGCAUUUUGAUGACUGUUGUCGCUCUCUAGUUGGUCGCUUCCCAGUCUUCUGCUAGCCUUCACUUGUACUAAGCGGGAAUACUGCUUGUGCAUCCACUUCCAUAAACCCAAAGUUGUUCUACAUGAGUCCACCAUACCUACCUAUAUGCGGUAUCUACCUACCGUUCCAAGUAAAUUCGGAUGUGCCACUCUCUAAACCUUCAAGAAAUAAUAUGUUUUGCAUGCCCGAACCGCUCAUGUGGUGACAGGGGGCUAUCAGUAUCUUCCAUGCUAGGCGUGUUAUCCUCGAUAUAUGUUUAUUCACUAUCAUUCACGAGAAAGGGGACAGUAAUUGGAAUGCCCAGUUCCAUGUUCAAAUCGAAAAGAUAAUUGCAAACAAAACUCCCACUGGAUUGAUGUUGGUAUGGACGGCACCCGAGGAUUCGGCUAGUCAUGGAGUGUGAUUGAUCGGUGGUGGGGGAGUCAAAACUUUACUUUUCUGUUUCAGAACCGCCUAUAGAAUGUGUAGCGUGGAAGAUGGUGAGAACUCUUAAUCAUUGCGUUGACAAUGAAAGCAUGCCACCCAAAAUCAUUAUGUCUUUUUUAAAAGCUUGAGCUCUGGCACCUCGGCAAAUCAAUGCUUCCCUCUGCGAAGGGCCUAUCUAUUUAUGUUCCUAUUGAGUCAUCCUCUUCUUAUAAAAGCACCAAUUUGAGAGCACCUCUGUCAUUUUUAUGCUUCUAUUUUAACUAUGAUUGAGUAUGACUGUGACUGGAUCUUCUUUGCCAUGAAUUAGAAUGUCUAGUCAGUCAUUGGUCUUUGAAGGUGCUCUGCAUUUAUGUUUUGUGGUCUCAGAAAGAGCUAGCGAUAUACCAUAUGUUCACAUUGCUUCAUGAUUGUUUUGAUUGAAGUGUUGACGUUUGAAACUUAUUAUUAUUGCUCGCUAGUUGAUUAUGCCAUUAAUUUGAGUUUAACGUGAGACAUAGAUGUCAUUUGCUUAUGUGGUUAGCCUGUGAUCUUGCUAAUAUUCUGGAUAUGAGUUAGACAUAGUUGCAACAACUAGAUCAAACAGAGUUCGUAAAAGUUUUUCCUUUGUCUGUUUCAGUUUGUCAACUGCAUUGCUUGAGGAUAAGCAAGGUUUUAAGAUUGGGGGAGUGAUACGUCCAUUUUGCAUCAUGCUUUCAUGUUGAUAUUUAUUGCUUUUUGGGCUGUUAUAUUACUUGUGGUACCAUAUUUAUGCCUUUUCUCUCUUAUUUUGCAAGGUUUAUUUGAAGAGGGAGAAUUCUGGCAGCUGGAAUUCUGGACUGGAGAAGGAGCAAAUCCUAGUCCACUAUUCUACACAUCUCCAAAUGCCGUGAAAAUUUACGUGGAUUUUUCUGGAAUAUAUUAAAAAUACUGGGCGAAAGAACUACCGGAGGGGGGCCACCAGGGCCCCACAAGCUUGUCCACUACCACCACCCCCUGGUGGCGCAGGGCAGGCUUGUGGGCUGCCUGAAGCAUCCUGGUCUGGUAAAAAUCAAUCGGGAGCUUUUUCGUGGUUUCGCCGCCGCCACGAGGCGGAACUUGAGCAGAUCCAAUCUAGAGCUCCGGCAGGACGAUCCUGCCGGGGAAACUUCCCUCCCGGAGGGGGAAAUCGUCGCCAUCGUCAUCACCAACACUCCUCUCGUCGGAGGGCAGGCAUCUUCAUCAACAUCUUCAUCAGCACCAUCUCCUCUCCAAUCCCUAGUUCAUCUCUUGUAACCAAUCUUCGUCUCGCAACUCAGAUUGGUACUUGUAAGGUUGCUAGUAGUGUUGAUUACUCUUUUUAGUUGAUGCUAGUUGGAUUACUUGGUGGAAGAGUUUAUGUUCAGAUCCCUGAUGCUAUUCAUUACACCUCUGAUCAUGAUUAUGAUUAUGUCUUGUGAGUAGUUACUUUUGUUCCUGAGGACAUGGGAUAAGUCAUGUUAAUAAUAGUCAUGUGAAUUUGAUAUUCGUUCGGUAUUUUGAUAUGAUGUAUGUUGUUUUUCCUCUAGUGGUGUUAUGUGAACAUCGACUACAGAACACUUCACCAUAUUUGGGCCUAGAGGAAGGCAUUGGGAAGUAGUAAGUAGAUGAUGGGUUGCUGGAGUGACAGAAGCUUAAACCCCAGUCUAUGUGUUGCUUCGUGAGGGGCUGAUUUGGAUCCACUAGUUUAAUGCUAUGGUUAGACUUUGUCUUAAUUCUUCUUUUGUAGUUGCGGAUGCUUGCGAGAGAGGUUAAUCAUAAGUGGGAUGCUUUUCCAUGUAAGGGCAGUACCCAAGCGCCGGUCCACCCACAUAUCAAACCAUCAACGUAACGAACGCGAAUCAUAUGAACAUGAUGAAACUAGCAUGACAGAAAUUCCCGUGUGUCCUCGGGAGUGUUUUUCCUCAUAUUAGACUUUGUUCAGGCUUGUCCCUUGCUAGAAAGUGAUUGGGCAACUUGCUGCACCGUUGCUACUACUUUUUACGUGUUACUCUUUGCUUGCUACAUUUCACCUCGCUACACAAUCACUUGUUACCGCUACUUUGAGUGCUUAUAGUUAUUACCUUGCUGAAAUCCGUUUAUCAGAGCCUUCUGCUCCUCGUUGGGUUCGACACUCUUACUUAUCGAAAGGACUACGAUUGAUCCCCUAUACUUGUGGGUCAUAAAGACUCUUUUCUGGCGCCGUUGCCGGGGAGUGAAGCGCCUUUGGUAAGUGGAAAUUGGUAAGGAAACAUUUAUAUACUGUGCUGAAAUUUAUUAUCACUUGUCACUAUGGAAACUCUUCCUUUCAAGAGUUUGUUCGGGGUAUAUUCACCACGAACGGAAGCACGAGGAGUUGCUCCUCAACCUGAGGUACCUACUGAAAAUAUCUUUCAUGAAAUUCCUUUGGGUAUGCUUGAGAAACUGCUGGCUAAUCCUUUCAUGGGAGAUGGAUCUUCACAUCCACACUUGCAUCUAAUCUAUGUAGAUGAAGUUUGUGGUUUAUUUAAGCUUGCCGGUUUCCCAAGGAUGAUGUAAAGAAGAAAGUCUUUCCUUUAUCUUUGAAGGAUAAGGCGUUGACAUGGUAUAGGCCUCGUGACAGGGAAAGCAUAGCUCAAGCUUGGGGAAGGCUUAAAUCAAUGCUAUAUUCAUGCCCCGAUCAUGAGCUCUCGAGAGAAAUCAUCAUUCAAAACUUUUAUGCUCGGCUUUCUCAUGAAGAUCGUACCAUGCUUGACACUUCUUGUGCUGGUUCUUUUUGUUGGGUAACGUAGCAUAAAUUCAAAAUUUUCCUACGCAUGUUCAGAUCUUCCUAUGGAGAGACCAGCAACGAGAGAGGGGUAAGAGCAUCUUCGUACCUUUGAAGAUCGCUAAGCGGAAGCGUUGCUAGAACGCGGUUGAUGGAGUCGUACUCGCAGCGAUUCCGAUCUAGUGCCGAACAACGGCACCUCCGCGUUCAACACACGUGCAGCCCGGUGACGUCUCCCGCACCUUGAUCCAGCAAGGAGGAGGGAGAGGUUGGGGAAGAAGACCAGCAACACGACGGCGUGGUGUUGGUGGAGAGACGAGGUCUCCCGGCAGGGAUUCGCCAAGCGCCGGCAGAGAGGAGGAGGAAGAAGUGCAGGGCUGCGCCGAGGGAGAGGGAAAACUGUGUCCUCCAAAGGCCAAAAGUGCCCACUAUAUAUAGGGGAAGGGGAGAGGGGGUGCCACCCCUAGGGUUCCCACCCUAGGGGGUGUGGCAGCCCUCCCAGAUGGGGUUUGUGGCGGCCAGAUGGGGAGGAGGGGGUGGUGCACCCCUCUGGUGGGCCUAAGGCCCACCUAAGUUAGGGUUCCCCCCCUCUUUUUCUUUCCCCUGCGCCAUGGGCUGAGUGGGGAGGCGCACCAGCCCAACUAGGGGCUGGUUCCCACCCCCACUUAGCCCAUAUUACCUCUUGGGGUCGCAGCCCCCCUUCGGUGGUCCCCCGGGACCACCUCCGGUGGUCCCGGUGGUCCCGGUACGUUACCGGUGAUGCCCGAAACACUUCCGGUGUACGAAACCAUCCGUCCUAUAUAUCAAUCUUCACCUCCGGACCAUUCCGGAGCUCCUCGUGACGUCCGGGAUCUCAUCCGGGACUCCGAACAACUUUCGGUAAUCUCGUAUAACAAUUCCCUAUAACCCUAGCGUCAUCGAACCUUAAGUGUGUAGACCCUACGGGUUCGGGAGACAGGGAGACAUGACCGAGACUCCUCUCUGGCCAAUAACCAUCAGCGGGGUCUGGAUACCCAUGGUGGCUCCCACUAGCUCCACGAUGAUCUCAUCGGAUGAACCACGAUGUCAAGGAUUCAAUCAAUCCCGUAUACGAUUCCCUUUGUCUGUCGGUAUAGAACUUGCCCGAGAUUCGAUCGUCGGUAUGCCUAUACCUUGUUCAAUCUCCUUACUGGUAAGUCUCUUUACUCGUUCCGUAGCACGUCAUCGUGUGACUAACUCCUUAGUCACAUUGAGCUCAUGAUGAUGUUCCACCGAGUGGGCCCAGAGAUACCUCUCUGUCACACGGAGUGACAAAUCCCAAUCUCGAUUCGUGCCAACCCAACAGACACUUUCGGAGGUACCCGUAGUGCACCUUUAUAGUCACCCAGUUAUGUUGUGACGUUUGAUACACCCAAAGCACUCCUACGGUAUCCGGGAGUUGCACAAUCUCAUGGUCGAAGGAAAAGAUACUUGACAUUAGAAAAGCAUUAGCAUACGAACAAUACGAUAUAGUGCUUGGCUUAGGAUUGGGUCUUGUCCGCCACAUCAUUCUCCCAAUGAUGUGAUCCCGUUAUCAAUGACAUCCAAUGUCCAUGAUCAGGAAACCAUGAUCAUCUAUUGACUAACGAGCUAGCUAACUAGAGGCUUGCUAGGGACACAUUGUGAUCUAUUCAUUCACACAUGUAUUAGUGUUUCCUGUUAAUACAAUUAUAGCAUGAACGAUAGACGAUUAUCAUGAACAAGGAAAUAUGAUAAUAACCAUUUUAGUAUUGCCUCUAGGGCAUAUUUCCAACAGUCUCCCACUUGCACUAGAGACAAUAAUCUAGUUACAUUGUGAUGUAUCGAACACCCAUAGCAUUAUGGUGCUGAUCAUGUUUUGCUCGUGGAAGAGGUUUAGUCAACGGGUCUGCAAUAUUCAGAUCCGUGUGUACUUUACAAAUAUCUAUCACUCCAGUUUGGACAUGGUCCUGGAUGGAGUUGUAGCGGCGCUUGAUGUGCUUCGUCUUCCGGUGAAACCUGGGCUCUUUGGCUGUGGCAAUGGCUCCAGUGUUAUCACAGAAGAGUGUCAAAGGACCCGACGCGCUUGGAACCACUCCAAGGUCGGUGAUGAGCUCCUUCAUCCAAAUUCCUUCAUGAGCCGCUUCUGAAGCAUCUAUGUACUCCGCUUCACAUGUAGCUGCUGCCACGACUUCUUGCUUGCUGCUGCACCAGCUCACUGCCCCACCAUUCAACACAUAUACGUAUCCGGUUUGUGACUUAGAGUCAUCCGGAUCUGUGUCGAAGCUAGCGUCGACGUAACCCUUUACGACGAGCUCUUCGUCACCUCCAUAAACGAGAAACAUUUCCUUAGUCCUUUUCAGGUACUUAAGGAUAUUCUUGACCGCUGUCCAGUGUUUUGCACCGGGAUUACUUUGGUACCUCCCUACCAAGCUUAUCGCAAGGUUUAUAUCAGGUCUGGUACACAGCAUGGCAUACAUUAGAGAGCCCACGGCUGAAGCGUAGGGGACAGAACUCAUCUUCUCUCUAUCUGCUGCCGUGGUCGGCGACUGAGUCUUACUCAAUCUCAUACCUUGCAAGACUGGCAAGAACCCUUUCUUUGAGUUUUCCAUAUUGAAUUUCUUCAAUAUCUUGUCAAGGUAUGUACUUUGCAAAAGACCUAUGAGGCGUCUCGAUCUAUCUCUAUAGAUCUUGAUGCCUAAUAUGUAUGCAGCUUCUCCAAGGUCCUUCAUUGAAAAACUCUUGUUCAAGUAGGCCUUUAUGCUCUCCAACAUCUCUAUAUCAUUCCCCAUCAAUAAUAUGUCAUCCACAUAUAGUACGAGGAAAGCUACAGAGCUCCCACUCACUUUCUUGUACAGACAGGCUUCUCCGUAAACCUGUAUGAACCCAAACGCAUUGAUCACCUCAUUAAAGCGAAUGUUCCAACUCCGAGAUGCUUGCACCAACCCAUAGAUGGAGCGCUGGAGCUUGCAUACUUUGUUAGCAUCUUUAGGAUCGACAAAACCUUCUGGUUGCAUCAUAUACAACUCUUCCUUAAGAUUCCCGUUAAGGAAUGCUGUUUUGACGUCCAUUUGCCAAAUUUCAUAAUCAUAAAAGGCGGCAAUUGCUAACAUGCUUCGGACUGAUUUCAGCUUCGCUACGGGAGAGAAAGUCUCUUUGUAGUCAACUCCUUGAAUUUGUCGAAAACCCUUUGCGACAAGUCGAGCUUUGUAAACGGUUACAUUACCAUUUGCAUCAGUCUUCUUCUUGAAGAUCCAUAUAUUUUCUAUGGCUCGCCGGUCAUCGGGCAAGUCCACCAAAGUCCAUACUUUGUUCUCAUACAUGGAUCGUAUCUCGGAUUUCAUGGCCUCAAGCCAUUUGUUGGAAUCCGGGCCCGCCAUUGCUUCUUCAUAGUUCGAAGGUUCACCGUUGUCUAACAACAUGAUUUCCAUCACAGGGUUGCCGUACCACUCUGGUGCGGAGCGUACCCUUGUGGACCUUCGUGGUUCAGUAGUAACUUGAUCCAAAGCUUCAUGAUCAUCAUCAUUAACUUCCUCUUCAGUUGGUGUAGGCAUCACAGGAACAACUUCUUGCGUUGCGCUACUUUCCUGUUCGAGAGGGGGUGUAAUUACCUCAUCAAGUUCUACCUUCCUCCCACUUACUUCUUUCGAGAGAAACUCUUUCUCUAGAAAGGAUCCGUUCUUGGCAACAAAGGUUUUACCUUCGGAUCUAAGAUAGAAGGUAUACCCAAUAGUUUCCUUAGGGUAUCCUAUGAAUACGCAUUUCUCCGCUUUGGGUUCGAGCUUUUCUGGUUGAAGUUUCUUCACAUAGGCAUCGCAGCCCCAAACUUUAAGAAACGAAAACUUAGGUUUCUUGCCAAACCACAGUUCAUACGGUGUCGUCUCAACGGAUUUAGACGGUGCCCUAUUUAAAGUGAAUGCUGCAGUUUCUAAUGCGUAUCCCCAAAAUGAUAUCGGCAAGUCGGUGAGACACAUCAUAGAUCGUACCAUAUCUAAUAAGGUGCGAUUACGACGUUCAGACACUCCGUUGCGCUGCGGUGUGCCAGGCGGCGUUAGUUGUGAAACGAUUCCACACUUUCUUAGGUGUGUGCCAAACUCGUGACUCAAAUAUUCUCCUCCAUGAUCAGAUCGUAGACAUUUUAUUUUUCUGUCACGUUGAUUCUCAACCUCACUCUGAAAUUCCUUGAACUUUUCAAACGUCUCAGAUUUGUGCUUCAUCAAGUAGAUAUACCCAUACCUACUCAAAUCAUCGGUGAGAGUGAGAACAUAACGAUAACCACCGCGAGCUUCAACGUUCAUUGGACCACACACAUCAGUAUGUAUCAUUUCCAAUAAGUCGGUGGCUCUCUCCAUUAUUCCUGAGAAUGGAGUCUUAGUCAUCUUGCCCAUGAGGCACGGUUCGCAUGUGUCAAAUGAUUCAAAGUCAAGAGACUCUAGCAGUCCAUCAGUAUGGAGCUUCUUCAUGCGCUUAACGCCGAUAUGACCAAGGCGGCAGUGCCACAAGUAUGUGGGACUAUCAUCAUAAACUUUGCAUCUUUUGGUACUCACACUAUGAAUAUGUGUAACAUCACGAUCGAGAUUCAUCAAGAAUAAACCAUUCACCAGCGGAGCAUGACCAUAAAACAUAUCACUCAUAUAAAUAGAACAACCAUUAUUCUCUGACUUAAAUGAGUAGCCGUCUCGCAUUAAGCAAGACCCUGAUACAAUGUUCGUGCUUAAAGCUGGUACUAAAUAACAAUUAUUGAGGUUCAAAACUAAUCCCGACGGUAGGUGUAGAGGUAGCGUGCCGACGGCGAUCACAUCGACUUUUGAACCAUUCCCGACGCGCAUCGUCACCUCGUCCUUGGCCAGUCUCCGCUUAUUCCGUAGUUCCUGCUUUGAGUUGCAAAUGUGAGCAACAGCACCGGUAUCAAAUACCCAGGAGCUACUACGAGCGCUGGUAAGGUACACAUCAAUAACAUGUAUAUCACAUAUACCUUUAACGUUGCCGGCCUUCUUGUCCGCUAAGUAUUUGGGGCAGUUCCGCUUCCAGUGACCUUUUCCCUUGCAGUAGAAGCACUCAGUCUCUGGCUUGGGUCCGUUCUUUUUCUUCUUCCCGGCAUCUGGCUUACCGGGCGCGGCAACAGCUUUGCCGUCUUUCUUGAAGUUCUUCUUACCCUUUCCUUUCUUGAAACUAGUGGUCUUGUUGACCAUCAACACUUGAUGCUCCUUCUUGAUUUCUACUUCUGCAGACUUGAGCAUCGAGUACAACUCGGGAAUGGUUUUCUCCAUCCCUUGCAUGUUGUAGUUAAGCACAAAGCCUUUGUAGCUUGGUGGGAGAGACUGGAGGAUUCUGUCAAUGAUAGCAUCAUCCGGAAGUUCGACUCCAAGUGAAGUCAGACGACCGUGUAACCCAGACAUUUUGAGUAUGUGCUCACUGACAGAACUGUUCUCCUCCAUCUUAGAGCUGAAGAACUUGUCGGAGACUUCAUAUCUCUCGACACGGGCAUGAGCUUGAAAAACUAGCUUCAGCUCUUGGAACAUCUCAUAUGCCCCGUGUUGCUCAAAACGUCUUUGGAGCCCCGUUUCUAAACUGUAUAACAUGCCACACCUGACCAGAGAGUAGUCAUCACUCCGCGCUUGCCCGACGUUUAGAAUGUCCUGGGCUGCUGCGGGAGCGGGAGGGUCACCUAGCGGCGCAUUAAGGACAUAAGCCUUUUUACUUGCUUCAAGGAUGAGCUUCAGGUUGCGAACCCAGUCCGCAUAGUUGCUACCAUCAUCUUUCAGCUUGUUUUUCUCUAGGAAUGCGUUGAAGUUGAGGUUGACGUUGGACAUCUACAAUAUUUAUAAAGACAACUUUCAGACUAAGUUCAUGACAAUUAAGUUCAUUUAAUCAAAUUAAGUAUGAACUCCCACUUAAAUCGACAUCCCUCUAGUCAUCUAAGUGUUACAUGAUCCAUGUUGACUAACCCGUGUCCGAUCAUCACGUGAGACGGACCAGUCACCAUGGUGAGCAACUUCAUGCUGAUCGUAUUCAACCAUACGACUCAUGUUCGACCUUUCGGUCUCUUGUAUUCGAGGUCAUGUCUGUACAUGCUAAGCUCGUCGAGUCAACCUAAUUGUUUUGCGUGUGUAAAUCUGGCUUACACCCGUCGUAUGCGAACGUUAGAAUCUAUCACACCCGAUCAUCACGUGGUGCUUCGAGACAACGAACCUUCGCAACGGUGCACACUUAGGGGAAUACGUUCUCGAAAUUUUAAGAGGGAUCAUCUUAUUAUGCUACCGUCGUUCUAAGAAAUAAGAUGUAAAACAUGAUAAACAUCACAAUGCAAUCAUAUAGUGACAUGAUAUGGCCAUUAUCAUCUUUGCUCAUUCGAUCUCCAUCUUCAGGCAUCGCAUGAUCAUCAUCGUCACCGGCGUGACACCAUGAUCUCCAUCAUCAUGAUCUCCAUCAUCGUGUCUCCGUGAAGUCGUCACGCCAACUACUACUAUCACUACUACUAUAGCUAACCGUUAGCAAUGAAGUAAAAGUAGUAAGCACAUGGCGUUGCAUCUCAUACAAUAAAUUAAGACAACUCCUAUGGCUCCUGCCGGUUGUCAUACUCAUCGACAUGCAAGUCGUGAAACCUAUUAGAAUAACACGAUCAUCUCAUACAUCAUACAUGCAACAUCACAACUUUGGCCAUAUCACAUCACUUGUCAAACCCUGCAAAAACAAGUUAGACGUCCUCUAAUUGUUGUUGCAAGUUUUACGUGGCUGAUUUGGGUUUCUAGCAAGAACGCCUUCUUACCUACGUAACAGCCACAACGAUGAUAUGCCAAAGAUAUUUACCCUUCAUAAGGACCCUUUUCAUCAAAUCCAAUCCGACUAGAGUAGGAGAGACAGACACCCGCUAGCCACCUUUAUGCACGAUGUGCAUGUCUGUCGGUGGAACCAGUCUCACGUAAGCGUACGUGUAAGGUCGGUCCGGGCCGCUUCAUCCCACAAUACCGCCGGAAAAGAAUAAGACUAGUAACGGCAAGCAAAUUGACAAACCAUCGCCCACAACUUUUGUAUUCUACUCGUGCAUAGAAUCUACGCAUAGAAAACCUGGCUCGGAUGCCACUUUUGGGUAACGUAGCAUAAAUUCAAAAUUUUCCNNNNNNNNNNNNNNNNNNNNNNNNNNNNNNNNNNNNNNNNNNNNNNNNNNNNNNNNNNNNNNNNNNNNNNNNNNNNNNNNNNNNNNNNNNNNNNNNNNNNUAUAUAUAUAAUAUGGUAUAUUAGGCAUUCACACAAAGAUAUGGUUAACUAUGUAAUCUGUACUUCAGUACAGUGCUAGGUAUGAAACAUGCAAUUGGGCAUCCAACGCGAGCUAAAAAAUAGUUUAAAAGCACCUAAGUGCGCGCUUAUCUUUGCUCCCAGCCAUUAAUCUCAUAUUCUCAUCCCAUAUAUAUAUUGUUGUUCUGUGUUCAUUAUGCAAAUGAUAGGUAUUGGCCUUACUCCAAUUACUUCCAGCUGCUUGUAUUAGAAUCGGUUUUUCAUAUUUAUAGGGUUUACUUCCAGAAAUUUCUCCUACUUUUCACCUUGAAGAACUGUAUAUGUACUUGUUCUAGCUGUGAUUUCAUUUCAGAAAGUAAAGUGCAACGGUUUUGUUGUUAGUCAGGCACCUAAAAUUUUUCUCCAUCGGUCAAUUUUUGUAGCCGUAUGUUAAUUACUUAUAUUUUCCUUCUUUUCCAAUCCAUCAAUCGAUGGAUUCUAUGGCCCAAGUAUUUUUCAUUGUUUUCUCUAUGUGGGCAAGAGUUUUCAUUUGUGGGCUUGUAGGAGGUUGCCCGGGUGUGUAUGACUCUACAUGUAUGAUUACUUUCCCCUAAAAAAGCAUGUAUGAUUACUUUUAUCUCAGCUCGUUUUUUCAUUUCCCUUUAUAUUUAAUUGAUUAUUUAUUUAUUAAUUUGUGUCAGUGUGUAGAUUGUUGCUCUUUCCAUUGUGUGUGCGAGUGUGUUCAUGUGUGUGCAUAUAUAUACACGCAAGCGUGCAUGCAUUUGAGAGAUGUGAGACCGACACUAGUAAAAACAUAUGUAGUCCCCGUUGGGAAGGGACUAGUAGAAAACAGGUUUGUAGUUCCCAUUGGAGAGUGACUAGUAGAAACCAGACGGGACUAAUGCUCCGGACGAAAGCCCUAUUUUCUACUAGUACGACUCCACAUGAUAUGCAAUUCAUCUUCUACAGUUUGAGAGAUGAUUAAUCACCAACAUUGGUGCUUUGUUAGUUGAAUAUAGAUUAUACCAUUAUCUGAAAUUAUUGAUAUUAUAUGUUUGUUCUUGUACAUUGUAGAACAAUACAAGUCCUGUGUAAUAUGUGUCUACGUUUUUAUCAUCAUUUCCUUUAUUUUUUCUUUCUUCAUUUUCUUUCUUCUUUAGAGUAAUACCAAUGCACUUAAUUCAUUCUAUCAUAGAGUAACAUUUAUUUUUAUUUUGUUUGUAUAUAUGUUAUUAGAUUUUGCCAUUGGACAGGCCUCCGAAUGUUCAAUCCUUCCUUUUCAUUUUCAUGUGUGUUUGCUUAUGUGUUUACCCUUUUAUGAGUUAUUUUUUUUUCUUUUAUGUGUAUAUCUGAUGAUGUGUGUUUUGUGAGUAUACAUGUAAAUACUAUACAGUACAUGUGUAAAUUACACCAGAGUGAGAAAAUUGCACUAUUCUUAACAUUUAUUACCGCAUAUUAUAAAAAAGUGCAAAUUAUGUGCACGUUUUUUAAUCAUUUGUUUUAAGUUUAUUUCAACUUCUUUAUUGUUUGGAUGUUAUACUGUUAUGUGCUUGUGGUUGCAUAUUAUACAAUUAUAUGUUUGUGCUUGCGUAUUAUGGAACACUACAUGCAAGUUAUAUCUUAUGUGUGUGCAAAUAUUUCUUAGCGUAUGAUUCUAGGCUCUUUUUUCUUAGAAGAUAGUACCAGUGCCCUUAAUUCAUUUCAUUUUAAAAUAAGUUUUUGUUUUUGAUUUUGUUUUUUGUAUAUGAUUUUUUAAUACUCUCUCUGUAAAGAAAUAUAAAACGUUUAGAUCACUUGGUGAUCUCAAUGUUUUUAUAAAAACGUUUAGAUCACUUGGUGAUCUCAACGUUUUUAUAUUCCUUUACAGAGGGAGUAUAUGUCUUUGUUUACUUUCUUUAACAUAGUAAGCGUUGACGCUCAUACAUAGACAUGUAUAUGACUUUAGGAACACAUACAGUAUAACAGGAAUGCAUGCUAUUAGAAAGCGAUCGAUGAAAUGACUUCAAUGUUUUCGACGUCUUCUCCUUUGACCGGUUAGUUCUACGUGAGUAGGGCCGCAGUGUGGUAGAUGAUGAUUAUGGCGGCAGACAUUAUGGAUGCAGUGUCUUCAGAUGACAGUGUGCAUGUUGUUAAUAAUAUGGUUGUGCGCAUAUGUGAUGCAGAGGCCAUGGAUAUAUCCUCAUUUUUGGAAGAAAUGAAUGUGUAUCCAUGCAUGGCGUUGGCUGCUGCCCAUAAGUAGCAUUGCUUCUUCGCCAUCCUCCAUUAUAAUCAUUUUAUCAUAUGAUAUAUACUUACAGUAUGUCACAUCAUUUUUAUUAUAUAUAUAAUAUGGUAUAUUAGGCAUUUGAGACAAAGAUGUGGUUAACUAUGUAAUAUGUAUUUCAGUACUGUGCUAGGUAUGAAAGAUGCAAUUGGGCCCUCCAACACGAGCUAAAAAUUAGUUUAAAGCACCUAAGUGCGCGCUUAUCUUUGCUCCCAGCUAUUAAUCUCCUAUUCUCACCCCAUAUAUAUAUUGUUGUUCUGUGUUCAUUAUGCAAAUGAUAGGUGUUGGUCUUACUCCAAUUACUUCCAGCUGCUUGUAUUAGGAUCGGUUUUUCAUAUUUAUACGGUUUAAGCUGUUUAACUUAUUUUUAAGUGUGUGUUGUAAAGUCAGUCAACCCCAAAUUGUGGUAGUUUAUAAUGUGUAGAAAAUUGCACAUGAUCAAUGUUUAAUUUGCUAGUUAUGUACUUACUUGAGCUUAUCUCGAGAAGAAGAAAAACUUACACGGUUCGUAAUGUAUUUAUGCGCAGCCACGAAAUGCAGGAGGUGAUGUGGUUGGAUCUACCUGCAGAGUUCAAGACGUUAUGCCUCCUCGCGCUUUUUGUAAGUCCAUAUUUUUCUGGAAAAAAUAGUUGAACAUGAGUCUUAAUUACUCUCAUCUUUUCUUUAUUUUUACCUGCAAUUUGCAUAGUUGUCUUUCAUCUGUGACGUUGAAAGGUGCGUCUCACAUAUAUAUGUGUGUCUUAGUCCCCACAUGAACUCAAGCUACAUCACACCCUCACACACCCAUACCUCAUGUGUUUUAUUUCUACCAUACAUGCUAAAAAGGCACACCUAUACUAUGCAGCUGGGAGUUCAAAGUUUAGGGCUGCUGUCCCAGAACCUGAGGUCAUCGCGGUGAAGCGGAAGCCAGGGGACAAGUUCCUAAUCCUGGCCACCCGGGGGCUCUGGGACUUCGUCACUCCAGGCGACGCGUGUGCCUUCAUCGAGAGAAGAUUGAGCGUGUACGUGCCGCGAAUCAUCAUGCCGUGGGAGAAGAAGCCAACGAACAGCAGCGGCCCGCCCUGUGCCAAGAUACUCGCCAAUGAGUUGGCUGAACACGCGAUCAGCAAGGGCACCAAGCACAACGUGAACAUCGUCGUCAUACUGCUCAAGAAUUUCUGGGACCAGAGUAUUCCCUCAACUUCUGAGGAGUGAUUUUGGUUUUUCAUAUGCUCGUAGUCGGUCUUAUCAUCUGUCCACUGUGGUAUGCAAACUUUCUUGCUGUCUUAAUGAUUGCUAAGGGGACUUUGGAACGUGUUUAUUGAGAUUUUUCUUGUAGCUAUUUCAAGAUGGAUCAUCCAUCGUUAGACUAUACAUGUCUUGCUUAUUUAAGGCAUAAUUUUCUAUCCGAGAAUUGAAGUAUUUUGUUUUUAACUUCUUGUGGUUUUGGACUGAUAUAUAGCAUUGAGAGGGGAAUUUCAGUUACUUAUAUACAGAGCUAGAGUAUGUUUACUAGUUCCUCCGUUUCUAAAUAUAUGAUGUUCCAGUAGUUUUUGAACUACUAAAACGUGGAACGGAGGAAGGUACGUAGUACAUGUUUCACUUUAAGAUAAGAAAUGAUUUUCUAUCUUGAACAUCUUACGAAGUCUUUUAACAUACUUUAUUCCAAUAUUGGCACAGAAAUGAUACAUCAGGAUAAUAAUUGAAUUAUAUAUUAAUAAUCAACUAAACAGUACGGCACGUGCAUGAAGUAUAUCUUUGCUGGUUUUAUUCUGGUCAGUCCAACACCUAAACUUUUCCUCUAUGUAUGUUGCGUGCGUGCCAUGUUCUCCAGUCUGUUAAAUUGUGAUCCAAAUUCUACCGUAUUGGACUAGACGUAGUACAAUCGGUGUGGGCCUUUGCGUUGGUACCGACGCGUACGAGUACAACUCGUUUACUUGUCCUCCAAGGACUCUUAUGUAUUGCCCCUCAUAUAUACUCCAUGUAGCCGCACCUAAAGACGUCCUGUCGUCUCGUGCUUGUAAUACUCCUCCUCAUAGUGAUUGCGCCUUCGUGCGUCCGUGGUUUUCUCCCGCAAGGGUUUCCACGUAAAAAUCCGUGUCUCUCGUGUCUCGUUGAUCUCGUUUUAUCUAAC